GUGAAGGAGAGGGUGAGUUUUGAAGAUAUUUUAGGUGAUAGUUCAGGUGGUGACCUAUCAGGGAAGGCUUCGGAGGCAUAAUGUGCUGUUAUAGCUUGUAUAGCCUCCCGACUUUUGUUAUAUGUGCUGAUCUGUUAUAUAUUGCCACAUAGGGCCCAUAUACUCUAAUGCUGUAAACUAAUACUUUUAAUCACUACUAUAUGAUAUGGGGGUCGUUGGAAGGCUAGAGAUAUUUAA
Molecule: long non-coding RNA, 237 nt
Organism: Neltuma alba
Lineage: Eukaryota; Viridiplantae; Streptophyta; Magnoliopsida; Fabales; Fabaceae
Exons: 2
Source: RefSeq, a predicted model, not a curated record